AUUUUAACCAUCCGAACAAGUUCCUUCGAUCCAUCGACUUCAACAAGUGCUCUUGCAUAAGAAAGUCUACCUCUACUAGCCGUGACUUUAUCGGUAGAUAUGGGUUUUCCUACUUUGGAGACAAUUUUCCCCAAAGUGUUUGUGUUCCAAAAUUCCAACGGUAAUCCCGACAAAUUGAUCCAAGCCGGCAAAAUGCUAACAUCUUU
Molecule: long non-coding RNA, 206 nt
Filed under: Olea europaea (common olive)
Lineage: Eukaryota; Viridiplantae; Streptophyta; Magnoliopsida; Lamiales; Oleaceae
Description: long non-coding RNA (OEUR_LNC002972)
Source: RNAcentral